This 846-nucleotide long non-coding RNA is filed under the name Equus caballus (horse). RNAcentral's name for it is "lncRNA (ENSECAG00000047695.1)". Lineage: Eukaryota; Metazoa; Chordata; Mammalia; Perissodactyla; Equidae. The record is from RNAcentral.
GUAAGUUUCCUCCACAUCUUUUCAUGGCUUGAUAGCUCAUUUAUUUCGUUUCAGUGCUGAAUAACAUUCCACUGUCUGGAUGUCCCAUUGUUUAUUUAUCCACUCCCUUACUGAAGGACAUCUUGGUUGCUUUCAAGUUUUGGAAAAGUAAAGCUUCUACAAACCCCCAGUGCAGGUUUUCAUGUGGACCUGAGUUUUCAGCCCAUUUGGUGCUGGGAAAGCUGUACGAGGUCUGGAGCGCGGGGCAUCCCGGGAUCAGCUCCCUGCUGCCACAACCCCACUGGUGUUAUUAGUAUCCUCAUCAGAAUGACGUCUUUUCCAGCAGCUUGUUUCUAGCACGUUUCUGAGUUUCUACAGCCCAUCCAGAUCUAGGCCCCUGGUCACAUCCCAGAGCCACCCCCACCACAGACACAAGGCCCCUCAGUGCCAGGCCCCCUUGGUGGAUCUCAAAUGGUUUUGCAUGAGCCCCACCCCACAUAAGGCAGCAGAAGCAGGCUCUUACCCUAUUCGGCAGAUGGGCAGGCUGUGGCUCAGAGAAGCUGAGUGGCUGGCAUAAAAUGGCACAGGAUCUCCUCUACAACCACCUACAACCACCCUCCAUACAGCAAGCCCCUCAGCUUCCCUUUCCACCCAAAGGUCUGGCUCCCACUCUUGGAUGAAGAGAAGGAGCGUCUGAACCCAAAAUUCCUUACAGCACAAUAGACAACUGAAAAACAACUCAACAGAAUUUUAAUUAUUCACAGAAAACGUGUACUGUGUACAAGGUAUUGACCAAAGAACUUUAUAAAUACUAACUCAUUUUCUCCUUAUAACUACCUUAAUGAAGCAGGUACAAUUAUUAUCCCC